GCCGUUUGUGAAUGGUGGGUUGUCGGGUAUGGGUGCGACGUGCGUGAUCCAGCCCGUGGAUAUGAUCAAGGUGCGUAUUCAGCUGGGUCAGGGAAGUGCUUUGGUGGUGGCCAAGAAUGUUAUUGCGAAUGAGGGGUUUGGCGGACUGUACAAGGGUUUGUCCGCUGGGUUGCUGCGGCAAGCUACUUACACGACUGCGAGGCUGGGGACGUUUAGAAUUCUGACUAAUAAGGCUGUGGCGGCGAACGAAGGGAAGCCUUUGCCAUUGUAUCAGAAGGCCUUGUGCGGGUUGACAGCCGGUGCUGUUGGAGCCUCCGUGGGCUCACCUGCAGAUCUUGCCCUAAUCCGGAUGCAGGCGGAUGCUACCCUCCCCGAAGCCCAGAAGCGGCACUACAAGAAUGCCUUCCAUGCCCUCACCCGGAUCUCCAAGGACGAGGGUGUGUUGGCCCUGUGGAAGGGAGCUGGCCCCACUGUGGUGCGAGCCAUGGCAUUGAACAUGGGUAUGCUUGCCUCUUAUGACCAGUCUGUGGAGUUCUUUAGGGACUCUUUGGGCUUCAGUGAAAUUCCCACUCUCGUCGGCGCCAGUGCGGUGUCUGGGUUCUUCGCAUCGGCGUGCAGCUUGCCAUUCGACUACGUGAAGACGCAAGUGCAGAAAAUGCAGCCGGGGCCAGACGGGAAGUACCCAUACACCGGGUCUGUGGACUGCGCGUUGAAGACACUGGCACAGGGAGGACCUUUGAAGUUCUACACCGGAUUCGGAACGUACUGCGUGCGAAUUGCGCCGCAUGUUAUGAUGACCUGGAUCUUCUUGAACGAAAUCCAGAAGUUGGAGAAGGCGUAUGGUUUGUGAAUUAGUCUUCAAAUCACCAAUGUUCGGUUAGUUACAUCCAUGCAUGGUGCCUUCAGUGCCUGAUUACUUUCUCCUACUUUUGGUUACCUGAGAUUUACAAGACUGGUCCCUAGAAGUUUGUGCUGUUAGAUUUAGAUUUCUAAGUUUCUCAUGUCAAGGCAGUUUGUGAUGCUUGUUAGGGCACUAAUACUAAUGUUGGAGGACUUGGGAGAUGUUUUCCCUUUACUGUGGGGCUUUGACCGUAUACGUACAUGCUUCUCUGGAUUUGGGACGUUGUUGCUUAAAUGAUCAUGUGUAGGGGAUAGAAUAAAGCGAUUUUUAGUCAUGAUUGCAGGUCGAUCACCAUUUUGAGAUGUGUUUGUACAUCUGCGACUUGCUCUGUAAUUGCUAUCUGCAUAUGACUAGGUGUCGGGGUAGAGUAGGGAGUGGGUGGGCAAUUGGCCUUCUGUAGCUCACCUCCAAUUCGUUACUGAACAUCUUGACCACCACCCACCUUCUUUGCGCGGAAGGAGAGUGGUCUGUAUUUAAGAAGAAACCAAGAGUACCACUUUUGAUCCAUCUAUGUGCACCUUACUCUGAUGGUUUGGCUCUUACUUGUGUGUCAAUUCUUUCAGUAUAUCGCAUUCGUGGCAUCUGCUUUUCCUUAUGAUGUGUGCAGCCUAUUUUCUAUACUAAACAUCAAGAUGUAAUUUUGUGUUCGAGUUGUGGAGAACAUGUGGAGGAAACAGAUUGGUAACAUAAUGAAAAAAAAUUAGUAUCUACCUAAUUUGCGGGCACAUUUAUGCUUUCUUCUUUUUUCAACAAUGCUGCAGCGAUAUGUGCUCUUGUUACCCAAGAUUAGAUGGUACGCCUUCUUCUGAAUAAUCUGGUCAGCAUUUAACGGCUGAUGCUAAGGAAUUUCUAUGAUCCAUGUAAUGCUGCAACAAGAUCAUUUGUUUUGACUUCCGUUUCCCAGGUGGUUUGGGUCAAGUGUGACUUCAACUCCUGAAAGCAUAAUGGAAUCAACUUAGGAAUGUCGCGGCAGUCAAUUUCGUCAGCGCCAAGUCAGAUUGUUUCAAAGAUCUUCCACCCUCUCCCGAUCUUUCAACUGGCUAUGGUUUCUUCGCUAGACCACCAUGACAUUUAGGUGCGCCAGGAAUUUACUUUCAAAGUCUUUUACAGUCCUCUGAUUCCGAAUGACGGGCUGAGAACCAGGGAUUUCGGUUCGUGAUCUAUCCGCCUUCGCCCACAAUCGCAAUCAGCACCAUUUAUGUCUGAACCAAUUGCACAGAUGCAACAACAUGCUUCAGAAAAUCCUCACAGGACCGAAGAAGCGGCUGAAGCUCUUGACAAGAUGGUUAGAUGUCAUCUUUUGUGACCUGUAACGUGGCUUGGCUGUUGUUCAACGCCAUGCAUGCAGUCGAAUCAUCCAACACUUGGCAGCUGAAAAUUUGUAGAAUAAUGUUGUGAUUUUGAAGUUCACAAGAGCAACUGAUUGGGCAUUUAAAAAGAACUUGACUUUAUUCAGAAUUAAAUCAAGUGUCAAUUUUUUCCCAUUAAACAAAAACAUCUAAAUGCAUUAAUUUUUGUUCUUACCAAUUGAAGAAUUUUAUAAGCAAAUCUUUCAGCCUAGUAAAAAUAAGUAAUACAUCCAUAUUUAUAUUAAAAUAUUACACAUAUUAUGUCAGUGUAUAUAGAUAUCAAGCUUUAUUUCUAUAGAUUUGAAAUUUUGAUAUGCAUAUAAAUGCAUCUAACAUUGUAGUAGGUGUUUUGCUUAUCUAAAACUCAAACUGAAAAGACAUACCAAUUUAUAAUCUUGUUUUGAAUAUAAAUUUGUAAGUCUUUCUAAAACAAUUUACAUUACUGAAGAUUUAUUGAAAAUGUUCUAACUUAUUGGCAUUUAGCAAGAAGUUUAAAAAUAAGGUUAUUUAAAGAACAUUAUUUCAUUUAUAUAUAUAUAUAUAUAUAUAUAUAUAUAUAUACUAUUUUCUUUCUACUUGCUUAGUUAACUAAUCGUGAUAUUUUAUUUUAUAUGAUAAAUUUAAUUAUUUGAAUAAAAUCCAUUAUAUUACAAAAUCCAAAAUUUCUAACAACAUAAACUGAUUUAUUUAAGACUAGAUGUCCAAUAAAUAAGAUAAAAAAAGUUGACACAAGUUUAGACUUAAAUGAUACAAAUUUAUUUUCAAAAGAGUAAAGUAAAUUCUAAAACCCAUAAAACUUAAUACUACUCUUGUAUAAUUUAAUUUCUAAUUAUGAAUAAAAUAAUUUGUUGUAUUAAUAUUUACUAUCAAAAUACUAAAAUAUAUAUUGAAUACUUUAAUGUUAAGUUUAAUCAAAAAUUUUAAUUACCAAUCAACACAAGGGAAUUGCAAAAAAAAAAAAAAAGAAAGAAAAAAGUGUAGAAUAUAUAAUUUCCAAAUAAAAUAAAAAAUGACUAAGUAGAUUAAUUAAUAAAAUUAAUUUUGAAAUUUUUACAAAUUUUAAUGUACAUAAUGAGGUCACAUUUAGCCAUUAAAUACUAUCAAAGAGAAGAAGAAUAAUAGUGCAUUGUAUUUAUUUUCAAAAAAACAUGAAUUUCACCUAUUUGUAUCAGGAACCCCCACAUUGCCAAGAUACAUACAUAUUUCACUCAAUUUUAUACAAACUUCUCAAUUCAUUACAUUUUUUAACCUAUGUCAUAAUUUGAGUUACAAUGAUUAUGCCAAAUAUCAGAAUAUAUUUAUAUCUAGGCUUAAUUACAAUCCCAAUACUUUUACCCAUUUACCCUAUUACAUCAUAUUCUAAGAAGCUUCUAUCAGAACUUUUUAUUAACUUUUUACAUAUUUUCUAAAACCUUAUGCAUACAAAUAAUUUAUGUUUUUUUAUAGAAUCUACAAUCAUUUCAAUAAAUGCAUCAGUUUUAUUCAAUAAGGAUAACUAUUAUGCUAUUGUAUUAAAAAAAUAAAGGUAAAACUAAAAAUUAUUUAGAAUUUUAAACUUGUCUUCUUAUUUCUGCUAUAUACAUUAAAAAUAUACAUAUAUAAUUUUAUUUCUUUUUUGUAGAAUGCUCUAAAUGUUUUUUUAGGUGUUCAUAAAAUAAUAAAUAAAUAAACAAGUAGCAUGAAGUUUCAAGAAAAUUACUCUUAUUUUUUUAUAUCAAAUUUUACAAAUAUUUUUUUCUCAACGAUAUAUCAAGUAUUAUAAAUAUGUCUUUAAAUUUUAUUUUCAUAUUGUUUUUUUAAAUAAUAUUUUUCUAAUCAUAUGUAAUUAAAUAUUAGAAAGGUUAGAAAAAUUAUGUUUAACUUACAUGUAAUUUAAGGAAGUCAUUUUUAUUUUUAUUUUUAUAACGAAUAUAUUUUAAGCACGAAAUUAUACCAUAGAAAAAUUAUCAUUCUGCCUUCAAACAUAUGAGGAUCCAUAUAAGUCAUGGAUAGCUGCAUUUAAUCUUGAGAAUAGAUUGACAGUGACUUUCACAUACUUGUAGAUUAACAACAUAGCGAGUGGGAAUUCCUAGACCCAUGCAAACUGUGUAAAUGUAGGAAUUCACUGAUUCAAGCAACGGAUUCGUCACGAGACGUGGGUCACGAGGAGGAUGAUGAUGCAAAGGUGCGGCACAAUCUCCUCCCCCUCGCGACGACGACGACGAGGGAGGAUGCUUGUCAUCUCCCCGCCUGCCAGCUUGCCUUGAUCGUCGACCCCGAAUGCGCUUGGAACCAUGGCAGACACGAUAAUCACGAAUAGAGAGAGAGAAUCAUGCUCGGAGGAGAUAGCUGCGGAAGGAAGGAAAAAAACACACUAGACCAGCAUCAAUAACAACAACAACAAUAACAUCUCCCUUGAACAUGGGACCGCCCGAUCUCAAACCCGCCCUUUGGCUCUUCGACCUCGUCGUCAGACUACUGAUUCCAUGGGCUGUGAGGGAAUCUAGUGCUCUGGGAUGAUCGUUCCCCAUGUGCUCGCUCGUCUUCUAGUAGAAGAAGUCCCAUCACCUGGCGUUUCUCAGAUAUGCAGAAACAGAUCUCCCGGGAUGAUGGUGGUAGUGUUGAUCAUGCGAAUAGCUUUCUGGUGUUUAUAGCACGGAGCUUGGGAGUGAGCAGAGUCUCGAUCUCGACAUUCAGGCUUCGUCGUGAGAUUCUUUUGUGGUUGGAGACCGGCAGAGACUGAACGAUGGCUGCGCUUGACGCCACGAAGUCGCAAGCGCCCCCAGUGGCGACCGUAGGCACUGGGAAGGCAACGUCGACAGUGUGGACGACUAUUAAACCAUUUGUGAAUGGUGGGUUGUCGGGAAUGGGUGCGACGUGCGUGAUCCAGCCCGUGGAUAUGAUCAAGGUGCGUAUUCAGCUGGGUCAGGGAAGUGCUUUGGUGGUGGCCAAGAAUGUUAUUGCGAAUGAGGGGUUUGGCGGACUGUACAAGGGUUUGUCCGCUGGGUUGCUGCGGCAAGCUACCUACACAACUACGAGGCUAGGAACGUUCAGAGCGCUCACCAGCAAAGCCAUUGCAGCCAAUGACGGGAAGCCUUUGCCAUUGUAUCAGAAGGCCUUGUGCGGGUUGACAGCCGGUGCUGUUGGAGCCUCCGUGGGCUCACCUGCAGAUCUUGCCCUAAUCCGGAUGCAGGCGGAUGCUAUCCUCCACGAAGCCCAGAAGCGGCACUACAAGAAUGCCUUCCAUGCCCUCACCCGGAUCUCCAAGGACGAGGGUGUGUUGGCCCUGUGGAAGGGAGCUGGCCCCACUGUGGUGCGAGCCAUGGCAUUGAACAUGGGUAUGCUUGCCUCUUAUGACCAGUCUGUGGAGUUCUUUAGGGAC
RNAcentral lists this long non-coding RNA (5611 nucleotides) under Physcomitrium patens. RNAcentral's name for it is "long non-coding RNA (PPAT_LNC002556)". Lineage: Eukaryota; Viridiplantae; Streptophyta; Bryopsida; Funariales; Funariaceae. The record is from RNAcentral.